ACCCCAUAAAUAAAGUNUUAAACUUUUUUUAGAA
RNAcentral lists this transfer RNA (34 nucleotides) under Neodiprion compar. RNAcentral's name for it is "tRNA-Leu". Lineage: Eukaryota; Metazoa; Arthropoda; Insecta; Hymenoptera; Diprionidae. The record is from RNAcentral.